AGUGAACGCUGGCGGUAGGCCUAACACAUGCAGGUCGAACGGCAGCACAGGAGAGCUUGCUCUCUGGGUGGCGAGUGGCGGACGGGUGAGGAAUACAUCGGAAUCUACUUUUUCGUGGGGGAUAACGUAGGGAAACUUACGCUAAUACCGCAUACGACCUACGGGUGAAAGCAGGGGAUCUUCGGACCUUGCGCGAUUGAAUGAGCCGAUGUCGGAUUAGCUAGUUGGCGGGGUAAAGGCCCACCAAGGCGACGAUCCGUAGCUGGUCUGAGAGGAUGAUCAGCAACACUGGAACGGAGACACGGUCCAGACUACUACGGGAGGCAGCAGUGGGGAAUAUUGGACAAUGGGCGCAAGCCUGAUUCAGCCAUACCGCGUGGGUGAAGAAGGCCUUCGGGUUGUAAAGCCCUUUUGUUGGGAAAGAAAUCCAGCUGGUUAAUACCCGGUUGGGAUGACGGUACCCAAAGAAUAAGCACCGGCUAACUUCGUGCCAGCCGCCGCUGUAA
Molecule: ribosomal RNA, 506 nt
Filed under: uncultured bacterium
Lineage: Bacteria
Description: partial 16S ribosomal RNA
Rfam family: Bacterial small subunit ribosomal RNA
Source: RNAcentral